CUAGAACAUUAAAAUUCUGAAGCAUAAAUAAACCUAAUGCAGGGAGAGGGGGAAAAACCCAGACAAUACAAUCUUUCAUACUCCAUUAAUAUCACAUUCACUCACACUACAUGUAACGUAAGAGUAGUCUAAUGUAUCCAACUCCACAAAGCAACAGGCCAUUGUGUCAUACUCUGCUGAAUGCAUCCUAUCACUUUGACACAUAUACACCUCCAGCAUGUGUUUUUGGAGCUAGCCUUUUAAAUGCAGCAGAACAAAGUAGCUGCAAUGCUACAGUAGCCAUCUUGCAAUGGGUAGCUGCAAUUUUCUCUUUUCCAGAAAAAAGUAAGGAGUGAACUGCAGUUGUAAAGAUGUUUUCAAUAUUUAAACUAAGAGGAAAUCCAACUAUUUGUACCACAAACUACAAGUGCUCCAUAGAUGUGAUUUUUUUCAAUGUGGUCUUUGAUAUAUUGUUUGUUCUAAAAAUAUAGCUUUACAAGCUUUAUUUCUUCAUAUAAAAUGUAAUGAGAAAUGAUACUUUGUCCUUCUAACUUUCCUCCUUGUGUAUUUAUGUUUGUUUUGGAACAAAUUUUUUUACCACACUUGCACUCCCAAUCUGAAUCAGAAAGAAUUAGAAUUCCACAACUAAUGUCAAAGACGAAUGAUUGUAAAUCAAUAGAGCAGUGCAUAGCAGUACUAAUAAGCGUUACCUGUUGAAAUAAAAGGGCUACUUAUCUUGA
Molecule: long non-coding RNA, 719 nt
Organism: Dermochelys coriacea (leatherback sea turtle)
Lineage: Eukaryota; Metazoa; Chordata; Testudines; Dermochelyidae
Exons: 2
Source: RefSeq, a predicted model, not a curated record